RNAcentral lists this ribosomal RNA (248 nucleotides) under uncultured bacterium. RNAcentral's name for it is "partial 16S ribosomal RNA". It matches the Rfam family "Bacterial small subunit ribosomal RNA", at positions 103 to 354 of the family's 1533-position model. The record is from RNAcentral.
CGGGUGAGUACAACAUAGGAAAUCUGCCUUAGGGUGGGGGACAACAGAGGGAAACUUCUGCUAAUACCCCAUAUGAGCUUGGUUGAAAUACCAAUCUUGAAAGUUCCGGCGCCCUAAGAUGAGCCUGUGCCUGAUUAGCUAGUUGGUGGUGUAAUGGACUACCAAGGCGACGAUCAGUAGCUGGUUUGAGAGGAUGAUCAGCCACAAUGGGACUGAGACACGGCCCAUACUCCUACGGAAGGCAGCAG